GGCCCUCCCCUGCAGUGGCGGCUGCUGCCAAGGCCAUGCUGCAGCAGCAGCUCAUGAUGGCCACCAGAGGAGGAGGCUUGCCUCAGAACGACGUCGUUGAUGGGUCGUCCUUCAAGUCUCCUACUCGGGGAGAUGGAUCAGUGCAGGCACUGUAUAAUAAUGGGUUUGGCGCUGGAUCUAUGCAUGGGACUGGGCAGGCAUCUAAUCAGUCUCAGCAACAUUUCCACCAUCCUCAGG
Molecule: unclassified non-coding RNA, 237 nt
Filed under: Hevea brasiliensis (rubber tree)
Lineage: Eukaryota; Viridiplantae; Streptophyta; Magnoliopsida; Malpighiales; Euphorbiaceae
Source: RNAcentral